GUUCCCCCGAGGAAAUCCUGACAAACAGGAACCACGAUCGGGACAUUCUGCUAUCUGGGUAAGUAAUGGUGUGCUUGGUAAACUCACCACAGACCAAGUGAUCUCCAGGUAAGCGAGGUUCCUUUGCCUGAACAGUUUACCAUGUGAUGGGUUAAUGGCUAGUAUGGAAAGAAAGGGAAAUGGCUCCUUGUUCUCCUUGCCAUGCGAUCCUUUUCAUUUCUGUCCUGGAGAGAAAGUGUGCUCUAUGUGCUUUGUGAGUGCUGAUUGAUUGGCAUGUACCCAGGGAACUCACAUGGCAUUGUGCAUCACAGGAGUGACUGCGGUGGAUUUCCAGGGGAAGCUGGCCAGGGAAAAUGGCAUAUCCUACCAUGGCCUAGACCUUGGAGGGCCCUCAAGCAUCCAGGCAGGCGGUAGUCAGAGCAUGAGGACAACCUUGAGGUCUCUCCAGGAGAUUCAGGGACCAUCGGAUUUGGUACGGAUUCAAGUACGAGAUGAUCAUGGCUCUCAUCAUUGCAGUGACUGUGGUAUUUUGAAGGAAUCCAAGAAACAGAUGAUGGACAUGUCCCUAACCAUGGUAGUGCUCAUGGAAUUUUGUAGCUAUAGAGUGAAAAUAUGACAGUGGCCAUAUCCCAGGUAAUAUCCAUGGGAUUUUGUAAAUAUCCAGGUAAGAAAUGAGUGUUUCUACUUAAGAAGUUAACAUGGGAUACUGAAGUUAUAAAGGUAAGAAAUGAUGAUAAACCCAACAGUGCAGGUGACCAUGGUAUUUUCUAGAUAUCCAAAUAAGAGUGGAUGGUGGCCCUAACUGGAGUAUCAAAAUUGGAUUGCCUCAGUUAGGUACGUAGCUGCUGCUGAUGUUUCUUUCCAUAUUAGUGAACACGGCAUUUGGUGGUAUUCCACUCCACACGUGUUGGCAAAACCAAACCACAAAAUGACCAUGAGAUUUGUCAGGGGUCUAGUAAACAGAUGAUGGUCCCCUUAACCGUGAAGGUUAUGAUGAAAUUUUGUAGGACAAUAAUUAAGAGAUGGUGGUGAUCCUAACCACGUAGUGAAUAAGGGAUUUUGCAAGUCACCAGGUAAGAGAUGAUCGUGUCUCUAAAAAUGUGGUGACCGUGGGAUUUUGCAGAUAUCUACCUAAGCAAUAAUGUGUUACUAGAAAUGGUAGUACCAAGGUAUUUUACAGUUACCCAGGAAAGAAAUGAUGUGUCCCCAGCAAUGGCAUUUAACCUGGUUAAUUUUAGGUCUCCAUGGAUGGUAGAUUUAUCUAAAUCUGGUAGAUCUCAUGGGCUUCUAUAGGUAUCCACAUGAGAGAUGAUGUGUCACGAAUUGUAAACAACGGCCACUAUUGUUACCAAGGUAUUUUAUAAGUAUCCAGCUAAGAGCUCUGGCUUUAUGUAUUUGUUAGAUUUAUGACUUUUUUGUGUGUGUUUUUAUAGUAUUUUUUUCUUUUCUUGAGAGAGUCUGGCUGAGGUAAGUGCUGAUGCGUGCAUAAACCACAGCACGCACCGUGGGACUGUCCCAGAGACCUGGUUCAGUGAUGAGGUGUCCCCACACGUCUUCCUGCCGUGAUUUCUUUCACAGGUACUCAGCUGAGAAAUGAUUGAGUCCUUACCAAUCCCAGAUCGGCCAGGUUUUCCCGUUUUCCGUUUCAACGAAAGUGUAUGCUGAACCCUGUGAGUGUUGAGGGGCUGCAGGAUGCCAGGUAUUUAUCUCUGCAUUCCCCGCCCCCAUGCUGCCCCUAGGAUGGCUACAGGUGUCGAGAAAUGGUGUUUUUGUGCUAUCAGGGUCGACCUGGGAUUACUGCAAGUAUCCAAGUCAAGUGGGUGUGUCCUGUAAAGAUGGAAAUAAUCAAGAUUCUUUGCAGGAGUGCUGGCAGCAAACCCCAUGUCCCUCUACACAUACUUCUUCGUGCCUCUUUCAGGUUCCUACCAUGACAUCACAAUAAAUCUGACACAAGACCUUAAUGGGAAGUUCGGCUGCUCUGCACGUCAGUGCUGAUGAGGACCAAAAGCAUCACACGGGCCACGCGAGGUUCAGUUGUCUAGAUAAGUGAUGAUAGUGUCAGGCCUCUCUGUCGUUCCCAUGAUUUCACUUCAGGUGUCCCAGUUGGGAUUGAUAAGGGUACCUGGCACCCUAGAAACUGUGAGUUUUUCCUCUGCGUAUUUCAGAGACAGUGCCUAACCAUGUGAACACGGCGGGACUGCAAAUACCAGGUAAUGAUCCAGCGUUCCCAGCCACAGCAGUGACUGUGGACAUUUUACAGGUGUUCUGUAGAGAGAAAUGCUAUCUUCUGGAGCCACGGCCCUGAGCCAGAUGGGCCCCACCAGCAUCCUGGUAAGAGUCAUUGAAUGAUGGAUGUGAGCUUCAUGAUUUGCAGGUGUCCUGGUACGGCAUCUUGUGUGUUUCUGAGGCAUAUGUCUGUAUAUGUUUUUCAGGUUCCCUGGAGGAAAUCCUGACAAAAAGGAAUCACCAUCAGGGGACAUGUCUGCUGUCUGGUUAGUGAUGGUGUUCGUAGUAAACUCACCACAGACCAGGCGAUCUCCACCUAUCUAGGUAAGUGAGGUUCCUUUGCCUGAACAGUUUACCAUGUGAUGGGUUAAUGGCCUUUAUGGAAAGGAAGAGUAGUGACUCCCCGUUCUCCUCACCAUGUGACCUUAUUGAUAACUGUCCUAGAGAGAAUAUAAGAUGUAUGUGCUGUGUGAGUGCGGAUUGAUUGGCACAUACCCAGGGAACCCACGUGGCACUGUGCAUCACAGGAGUUUCUUCGGUGGAGUUACAGGGAAGCCAACCAGGGAAAGUGGCGUGUCCUACAAUGGCCUAGACCUUGGAGGGCCCACAAGCAUCCUGGUAGAUUUUGGGCUCUUACAGUGAUGAUAGUGAGCAGGUGGCUUGCAGGGUUCUGGUAUUAAAAGCAGUGUCCAUAGACACAUUGGUCACAUACGUGAUUUCAGAUCAGGCAGGCAGAAGUCAGAGCAUGAGGACAGCCUUAAGGUCUCUCCACGAGAUUCACGGAUUAUUGUAUUUGGUAGGAAUUGAGGUAUGAGAUGAUCAUGGCUCUUAUUGCAGUGACUGUGGUAUUUUCAAGGAAUCCAAGAAACAGAUGAUGGACGUGUUCAUAACCAUGAUAGUGCCCAUGGGAUUUUGUAGCUAUAGAAUGAAAAGAUAACAGUGGCCAUAUCCAUGGUAAUGUCUGUGGGAUUUUAUAAAUAUCCAGGUAAGAAAUAAGUGUUUCUACUUAAGAAGUGAACAUGGGAUACUGAAGUUAUAAAGGUAAGAAAUGGUAAACCUGAUUGUGUGGGUGACCAUGGUAUUUUCUACACAUCCAGAUAAGGCUGGAUGGUGACCCUAAUUCGAGUAUCAAAAUUGGAUUUUGUGAGGUAGGCACCUAGGAGCUGAUGAUGUCCCUUCCCAUGUGAGUGAACAUGGCAUUUUGUGGUAUUCUGGAUGUGGUGGCAAACCUAACCCCAAAAUGACCAUGAGGUUUGUCAGGGUCCUAGUAAAGAGAAGAUGGUCCCCUUAACCAUGAAAGUUAUGAUGUCAUUUUGUCAGUCAGUAAUUAAGAGAUGAUGGUGACCCUGCCACUCCAAUGAAUAAGGAAUUUUGCAAGUCACCAGGUAAGAGAUGAUGGUGUCUCUAAAAAUGUGGUGACUGUCGGAUUUUGAGGAUAUCCAAUCAAGGAAUAAUGUGUUACUAGAAAUGAUAGUACCAAGGUACUCAGCAGUUAGCCACGAAAGAAAUGAUGUGUCCCUAGCGAUGGCAUUUAAUCUGAGUAAUUUGUAGGUCCCCAUGUAUGGUAGGUUUUUCCAAAUCUGGUAGAACACAUGGCCUUCUGUAGGUAUCCACAUGAGAGAUGACAUGUCACAAAGUGUAAGUACUGCCACUACUGUAGCCAGGGUAUUUUAUAAGUAUCCAGCUAAGAGGUCUGGCUUUAUCUGUGUGUUGCAUGUUAGACUAUCAUGUUGUCUAUUUUUUUCUUUUUUUUGAGAUUGUGUCUGGCUGAGGUAAGUGCUGAUGCAGGCCUAAACCACAACCCUCACCGUGGGACUGUCACAGAGACCCAGUUCAGUAGUGGUGUGUCCCUACACAUCUUCCCACUGUGAUUUCUUUCACAGGUACUCAGGUGACAAGUGACUGAGUCCUUACCAUUCCCAGAUAGGCCAGGUUUUCCCAUUUUCUGUUUCAACAAAAGUGUAUGCUGAAAUCCGUGAGUGUUGAGGGAUUGCAGGGAGCCAGGUGUUUAUCACUGUAUUCCCUGCCCCCGUGCUGCCCCAGGAUGUCUACAGGUGUACAGUCGGGAAACGGUGGUUUUCUGCUAUCACGGUCGACCUGAGAUUACUACAAGUAUCCAGGUCAAGUGGGUAUGUCCCGAAAAGAUGGAAAUCAUCAAGGUUCUUUGUAGGAGUGCUGUGGAAAGCCCUGUGUCCUUCUACACAUGUGUCUUCUACACAUCUGAUUUUGCAAGCUGCCAGAGAAGAUACUAUGGUGUCUCUAAAAAUGUGGUGACCACGAGUUUUUGCAGAUAACCAAUUAAGUUAUUUGCAAAACUAGAAAUGGUAGUCCCAAGGCAUUUUACAGUUACCCAGGAAAUAAAUGAUGUGUCCUUAGUAAAGGCAUUUAAUUUGGGUAAUUUGUAGGUCUCCAUGUCUGGUAGGUAUUUCUAUAUCUGGUCAAUCUCAUAGUAUUCUGUAGGUAUCCACAUGAGAGAUGAUGUGUCACAAGUUGUAACCAAGUGCCAAGGUAUUUUACAAGUAUCUCACUUAAAGCUCCGGUGAAUAUAAGUUUUUGAAGAUACCCAGUGGGGAAUGAUGUUGGCCUAAGCCAUGGUAAUGCCCACUGGUAGUGCCCAUAUCUUGGUAAUAGGUGGUGUGUGUCUGAUUAUGGUUGUCCCUAUGGCUUUUUUUUUUUUUUUCAAAUUCCAGCAGAAUAAUGAAGACAAUCUUAACCACUCUUAUGAACAGAAGAUUUAGCAGGAAUUGAGGAAAGAAAUAAUGUGGGCUUUAACCAAAUGGACGUGAUUAGAUUUUAGGGAUUUCUAAAUAAGUGAUCAUGGUGUCCCUAACAAUGGGAUUUUGCAGGUUGUAGUCAACAGGUGAUGAUGAAUUUAACAGUAGGCGCAAACAUGGGAAUUAUUGAUACCUAGAUAAGACAUGAUGUGGUCCUUAAACAUAUUACAGACCAUAUUAUUUUUUAGAUAUCUACACAAACAAUAUGUCCUGAAAUCUUGAUGUAACCAUUUUUUUUUUUUCACAUUUAAAAAGUUGCUCAUUCUCAAAUAUUUGUGCAGGGCUG
RNAcentral lists this long non-coding RNA (5286 nucleotides) under Macaca fascicularis (crab-eating macaque). Its description in RNAcentral is "lncRNA (ENSMFAG00000064771.1)". Lineage: Eukaryota; Metazoa; Chordata; Mammalia; Primates; Cercopithecidae. The record is from RNAcentral.